Homo sapiens (human) is the source of this 69-nucleotide transfer RNA. It matches the Rfam family "tRNA". Rfam says of the family: Transfer RNA (tRNA) molecules are approximately 80 nucleotides in length. Their secondary structure includes four short double-helical elements and three loops (D, anti-codon, and T loops). The record is from Rfam. NCBI's taxonomy places the organism in Eukaryota, Metazoa, Chordata, Mammalia, Primates, Hominidae.
GUAAAUAUAGUUUAGUCAAAAUAUUAGAUUGUGGAUCUGAUAAUAGAAGUCUGUAACUUCUUAUUUACU